This 87-nucleotide transfer RNA is filed under the name Anaerolineae bacterium. RNAcentral describes it as "tRNA-Ser". It matches the Rfam family "tRNA". From Rfam's summary of the family: Transfer RNA (tRNA) molecules are approximately 80 nucleotides in length. Their secondary structure includes four short double-helical elements and three loops (D, anti-codon, and T loops). Lineage: Bacteria; Bacillati; Chloroflexota; Anaerolineae. The record is from RNAcentral.
GGAGGGGUGCCGGAGCGGCCGAUCGGGGCGGUCUCGAAAACCGUUGUAGCUCUUGAGUUACCGUGGGUUCGAAUCCCACCCCCUCCG